Molecule: long non-coding RNA, 164 nt
Filed under: Chinchilla lanigera (long-tailed chinchilla)
Lineage: Eukaryota; Metazoa; Chordata; Mammalia; Rodentia; Chinchillidae
Description: lncRNA (ENSCLAG00000026193.1)
Source: RNAcentral
AGCAGCUCCGGGAAUAAAGGGUGUGAAGUUGGCAUGUGAAGGGUCAGCAACCUUAUCUGGAAGCUCAGGAGGACCUAGGCCCUGCCAGCAACAGCUCUGGGUAUUUUCUUCUUCUUUCAAAAUUAAUUUAUUCUUCCCCAAUCUUUAAAAGACAAUGUUAGUGA